Triticum urartu is the source of this 1540-nucleotide long non-coding RNA. RefSeq lists it as uncharacterized. NCBI's taxonomy places the organism in Eukaryota, Viridiplantae, Streptophyta, Magnoliopsida, Poales, Poaceae. The record is from RefSeq and is a predicted model, not a curated record.
CAGAGAAAAAAAAUCUCCAGGUCGUGUCUAUCGCCUCCUCCCCUCCCAAUCUUCCCCCAAAUCUUUCCCCAUGCCAGUGGUUAGAGCCGGAGGAGCUCCAUCACGACCUUGCUGUUCUCCGAGCCCUCCUCGCGCCGGUGGACUAGCACGCAGGUGGUGAGAGUGGGGGAGCUCCCUCACGUCGUGGCUCUACUCUGGGAGUCUGGGUCAUCCUCGCACCGGCGGCCUCGGACGAAUCAGAGACGGCCAUCUCGGCGCAGCCCGGGUUCCAUCGGGAUGGGUCACUGGCCUACCCCCGCCUCCUCGCUGCCUCCAUCAACGCCGGCAAGAGCUGGAGUUGCCUGAUGCAAUCAUUCCCGCCACGGCCCUGCAAGCCAUCACCGCGCAACUGAUUCCUGCUCGCACAGGCGGCCUCGGAUGCACCUGAUGCGGCCAUCCCCAGGCAGCGGAUUGAGUAUGUGCGCUCGACCCUCCUCUGCUUCGGGCCCUCCCUGUGCCGGCCGCCCUUGCCUUCACGCAACUGUGCCUAAGGACAUGAUUCGAAGUUUUAGCUGCAGUUGGCUUACCCUGAUGGAUACCAUUAGGAACUUCUCCACCGCCAGCAACAUCAUCCUUUGAAGUCGUCCGGAUGACUGGUGUUGUUCAACCUUUGCAAAUGAUGAGAGGAAGACAAGGAGAAUGAUGCAAUAUUGAGCAUUGCCAAUGCAUCUACUUAUUGGACGUGGACUGUCAUAUUCCCAUCGGCAUAUCAAAUAUAUUUCUUUAUAGCAACGCCAUGGAUUUCCUAUCAUGUUUAGCUUCACUCCAAGGCAAGCUACACCCCCACCUCUCUCUCAUGGAAUUUUUAUAGAACACUAUCAAUGAGACUGAACCUCAUGUCUUUUGGAUUUGUCAUUGACUUUUCCAUUUAUUUGAGGCCCAAUCAAAAAAGUUUAUGUAAUUUUCUGGCUGACUUUCUUUGCCUACCUGCCCGGGACACUUUUAUAUUGAGAACUAUAGUUGGUGCAUUUAAGAUCUGAACAUAUGUUUGGUACAAGGUAAUUAUGCCAGUAGCGUUUUGGGGGAUUAGUACACUUGAAUUCUUAGAAGACACUCUUUUCGACCCAUAGCAGCAAGAUUUUGGUCUUCAACUCUUUUGCAGGAAGAGUGCUACUGAUAAUACAAAGGUAUACAUGAAAUAAUAGAUUACUGAAGAGUUGAUCAGCUCAACUCCGUUGAAAUAUCUUAAGAGGAUGAGAUAAAUACCUUCGCAAAAAAGCAUAAUGUACGCAGUACCAUCUGAAAGGAAAAUUACUAUCUCCAAGACUUCAACCACCUUAUAUGUAAUGCCUCUGCCUAUUGUUGACUCUCAUUUGUGUGCCAUAUAGUACAUUUAUGUACUUGAGAUAAGAUGUAACAUUUUAAAGUUAUGCUGUUUAUAUCACCUUACGUUAUGUGUGAUAUUAGGUUAUUCCCAUUUAAUACAAUUUUUCAUUAAUUGUCCAUAUUUCUAUGGGAAACAACAUCGUUUAUAAAUGACGCAAGAGCAUAUUUAUCUUUA